GCACCUGUGGUGGAACUGGCAGACACGCAAGAUUCAGGUUCUUGUGCCCGCAAGGGCGUGGAGGUUCGAAUCCUCUCAGGUGCACCA
RNAcentral lists this transfer RNA (87 nucleotides) under Tichowtungia aerotolerans. RNAcentral's name for it is "Kiritimatiellaeota bacterium S-5007 tRNA-Leu". It matches the Rfam family "tRNA". Rfam says of the family: Transfer RNA (tRNA) molecules are approximately 80 nucleotides in length. Their secondary structure includes four short double-helical elements and three loops (D, anti-codon, and T loops). Lineage: Bacteria; Pseudomonadati; Kiritimatiellota; Tichowtungiia; Tichowtungiales; Tichowtungiaceae. The record is from RNAcentral.